RNAcentral lists this ribosomal RNA (253 nucleotides) under uncultured bacterium. RNAcentral describes it as "partial 16S ribosomal RNA". It matches the Rfam family "Bacterial small subunit ribosomal RNA", at positions 524 to 776 of the family's 1533-position model. The record is from RNAcentral.
UACGUAGGGUGCGAGCGUUGUCCGGAAUUAUUGGGCGUAAAGGGCUCGUAGGCGGUUUGUCGCGUCGGGAGUGAAAACCUUGGGCUUAACUCAGGGCUUGCUUUCGAUACGGGCAGACUAGAGGUAUGCAGGGGAGAACGGAAUUCCUGGUGUAGCGGUGAAAUGCGCAGAUAUCAGGAGGAACACCGGUGGCGAAGGCGGUUCUCUGGGCAUGAUCUGACGCUGAGAAGCGAAAGUGUGGGGAGCGAACAGG